GGGUCCAUAGCUCAGUUGGUAGAGCGCUCGGGUCACAUCCGAAAGGCCUCUGGUUCGAUCCCAGAUGGACCCACCA
This 76-nucleotide transfer RNA is filed under the name Patescibacteria group bacterium. Its description in RNAcentral is "tRNA-Val". It matches the Rfam family "tRNA". From Rfam's summary of the family: Transfer RNA (tRNA) molecules are approximately 80 nucleotides in length. Their secondary structure includes four short double-helical elements and three loops (D, anti-codon, and T loops). The record is from RNAcentral.